AACUGCAAUAUUUACCUUGCAGGGUUAACUCCUCCUCUAGUGGUGUCGCUGAAACGCCCAUAGGAAAGCAUUUUUCAAUGCUUUCCUAUGGGGAGGUCUAAUGUGCAUGUGCAGCAUUGCAGCGCAUGCGCAUUAGGUCUCACCCCGCCGGCGGCAGUGCAUGCGCAAUUGGUCUCCCCCUGGGAUGAGGGGUGGGACAUGGUUUGUUCUCCUGGCACUGGAGUGUCCCUUUAAUUACAGUUACAUUGCUGAGAGGGAGGUUAAACUGUGUUUUCACAGUUAUAGUGACAGGAAUGCAAACAUGUAUUCCUAUCACUAUAGUGUUCCUUUAAAGCUGAGCUGCACAUGUUUUUUUUUUUCCUCUAUGUGCUUAAGUGACCCAACCCUCACUUUUAAAAGACUUUAAAAGCAUAGCUGCCACUGGUGGGGGGGUGUAGCAAAAGCACAUGGAGGAAAAAAAUAAGUUUUAAUAAAACAUGGCAUAAAGAAAAUUAUUUUUUAGUGCACUUACCGUUUCUUCACCACGUCCUCGGUGCGGUUGUUCCCUCCAACAGCAUUCACCGCUGCCACAAUCUUCCUCCGCCAAUUUUCCUUCUGUGCUCUUGAACUCUUUUUGGCUGCUCCCCCAAAUAUACAUUGGUAGUACUGGCAAAGCUUGUUUACCAGUACUGUGUUCUCCUCUGCACAAAAGCUAUCUGCGUAUUUAUUCUUCCUCCCAGGAUCUGCUCUUUUUAAGAUCCUGGGCUGCCUCUGCUUCUGCUUGCUUCUCCCACUUGCUUCUCCUACCUCCUGGCCAGAGUGGCCAAUGCCCCCCUCCACUACAUCCAUGACUAUGUCGCUUGAGGAGCUGGAGGAGGACAUGACCACUUCUGGCAGGCUCAGUGUCCAAGUGCCUAAAAUGGCUGACAGGGUGGUGGGCUGGCUGAGCUCCAAAAUGGCUGAAUGGCUGGCCUAUAGAAAAUCUGGAUAGAUUUUGCAUUGAAGGACUGCCUUGAGUUGAUACUUUUUUUUUCUACAGUUUUGUCUGGUAGUAUGUAAAAGCCUAUUUAAUUGGCUACUACUUUCCCACUCCCUUAUAAAAUGAUACUGUGUUGCCAGUACCACCUGUCAGGGAAGCAUGAUGAUUCAUGAGCCCAAGAAACUAAGCAAAAGCAAUGCAUUGCAUUUGCAAUGUCAUUCGACAUGCGAAUGACUAUUGUAAGUGGUGUUCGGUAGUUUACUAAUAGUGCCAAUACAUUUUCAUGCGAACGGCAGUGUUCGUGCAUUUGACGGUUCGGGAAUUUGUUCAGGAGUUUUAGGCGUAAAUAGAUUAGAACAUUGUUCAAUGCCAUGUGUUGGGAGAUCAAUG
Molecule: non-coding RNA, 1348 nt
Organism: Pelobates cultripes (western spadefoot toad)
Lineage: Eukaryota; Metazoa; Chordata; Amphibia; Anura; Pelobatidae
Source: the annotation of a GenBank genome assembly